GCCGGCGCCGUCCGUGGCCUAUCGGUGAGAGCGGUGAGCUCAGAGCUACGACUUCGGAAUGGGCAUUGGCCCCCGGGCCGACCCUGAGUAGCUUGACCGGAGCAGUCGCUAGCAAAAGCUCGGCGACGGUCGUCUCCGCUACCAGAAAGAACGAGCGCACCUCAUUUAAAAAAAAAACACCAAAACACCAAAACCCAAACUUGGUCACCUGGCGUGUUCAGCAUGGAGAAGAAUGAGGGCAAGCCUCAUCGCAGGCUACAGCUUCCUCGGGAGGGGCAGCGGAGGGGUAGCUCCGAUCACUGUUCUCUGCGACGGGUGACAGGACCCGAGGGAGCGGCUGCAGGUGUGUCAGGGGACAUUUAGGCAAAUAUAUCAGGAUAAGAUGCUUCCCCCAAAGGAUGGUGGGGCACUAAACAGGCUCCCAGGGUAGUGGUCACGGUGUCAAGGCUGGCAGAGCUCAAGGUGUGUUCAGACAAGGCUCUCAAGGACAGGGUGUGCUCUGCAGGAGUUGGACUGGAUGAUACCAUGGGUCCUUUCCCACUCAGAAGAUUCUGUGGUUUCUAGAAUUAAAAACAACAAAAAACCCCCAACCAAAUAAAGCAAGAAAAAAACCCCAACAAACAAAACCCCCUCCAAUAACUUAAGGGUGAAACCAAACUAAUCACAGUCCCCACAGACUCUUCUAACAAGGCUUAAGUAAUGGAAGCAAUGUUUCCAGGGGAGAUGAGGGGUUCUCCACCCCUGGGAAAAAUCGUUUGAAUCAUCUGAAUAUCAGCGAAUCAUCUGAAAUAUACCCAGGGCUCUUCCAGUUGUACAGGAGGAGACUCACAUGCACUUGAAGAUCCCUUUUUCACUGAUCUGGACAGAAGAGGAUGGAAACAUUAGAGAUGCAAUCAUUUGUUAUCAGCAUUACUCUGGCAGUGCUGGUAUUGAAUGUUAUUUGUAAGUCGGAAAAGGACACAAACCCUGUCUCCUGCACAAGUGUGUGAGCAAUACUGGCUAAGGCAUCUUGGCACGUGAGCAACAUCAUUCUGCACUGGACAGGAAGAAUUGAUCCAGCAUGCCUCUGCAGAUCUUACGCAGGAAUCUCCACUGAACUCAGCGCUUCAUUCCAGAUGUGGCCGAGGAAUGGAAACCUAAUGCAAAGUGCAAGGCUGACACCUGGAGGGGCUGCAAGAGGCAGACAGGGAGCCCGGAGCAGCCACAGAUCCUUCAACACAGCUGGCCUUCUGACUCCCAGAAUAUCACUGAUGCUCAGCUCAUCCUGAUGAACAUACUAAACCACUGCAAACAUUCUCCACCCAGACGAGCCUAAAGGAUAUUUUCUGGACUCUCGUUCCUGCAAAGCGGCUUGGCACCAGUAUGGGGAAGUGUCCACGUUCAUACCUUCAGACCUGUUUGUGCUCCCAAAGAGAUUAGCAAAGGUAAAUUUAAGCACAUAUUUAAAAUUAAGGACAUUCUCUUGCUUUGGAGUUGGAAUCUCUACCCCUUCCUAAGUGACUCCCUCUGAAUCUCUGCGUUUUUCCAAAAAGAAGGUGUUCAAGUUAAGAAUAACUUGCUGCCUUCUAGAGAAUUUGUCUUUUCCAGCUUGAAGAGAGAAAUCCAGGAAGCAUCAAUAAAUCCACUUUGACAGUGCAGUAAAGAGCUGCAAAAGGAGUAACCUGUCAUGGUAAUAUGACUUAAUUUCUCAGAGAAAGAUCGUUUCUUUAUAAAUGAAAUGAAAAUGCCUGCAAAGUGAAAUAGGAGGAAAUGUCACACUUGAUUGUCUCUCAGUAGGACAGAAAUUAAAUAAAAAGAAGGCAAGGUAAGCGACAGGGUUUAAUGUUUAACGAGGGAAGUAAUAACAUAAACUGAGAAUAUUAACAUCCACUGAAAAUCUAUGCACAGCAAUCCAAGUAUGUCAAAGGGGUGUUUUCCCACAGAAAUGUUCAUUUAAUGUGCAAAUAACAUAAACUGAGAAUAAUAACAUCCACUGAAAAUCUAUGCACAGCAACCCGAGUAUGUCAAAGGGGUGUGUUGCCACAGAAACGUUCGUUUAAUGUACACAUUUUCCCGUGAACAAAAGGCGGAUUCUGUGCUGGGAGCGCAGGAUCGGUGGAGAUGCUGUGAUCGGACAUGCGGGGGCAGCCUUACCUGCAGCUCAGCACAGCCUUGCAGCACCGGGGCCAGGCCCUGCAGCCAGCUCGCUUUGGCCUCCUGGGUUCCCAUGGCAAGCUCUGGAGCUUCGCCCCUUUCGAAACAAGAGACCCAUGCAGGCUUUCCAGAUUUCCUUAUUCAAAGGGUGAGCACUGUACCUUUAAAUAAACACAGAGAUCUCAGUCCAAAUGGGAGCUGAAGCCUGGGCUAUCCUCGAUUAUGAAACCUCCCUUUCAGAGCUCACAGGCUCGGGGGCUGCAGCUACACUCCAAGGUUAAUAAUCAGGUUUUAAUAUUCACUUAGGGGGCUGUAAAAAAAGAAUGAAAAUUUCCUAAUUUGAAAAUGGACUUGAUUGGCAGCUUUAUUAUCUCUAUAAGAUGCAUGGCAUUCCAACACAAUCAAGUAAUUUUUAAAAAUAAUCUCACUGCUUAAGUCGUACAUGCUGCUAAUUGCAUUUUAAUAAGUCUCUUUAAAAUCUUUCCGUAUUUUUAAUAUCCUAAUAUUAGAUAAGUGAUUGCUGGGGACACUGGAGGGCACUGAGGUUUAUAGAAAGAGGAGCACCAUAAUGAAGCUUUAUUGGGAUGGCACCACCAAACAAUUGCUGUGAUAGCAACACUCUCAAGCUUGGAGAAAUGCCAGCCAUUCCCCUCUUAGAACUGACUCAGGCACAGGCAUCCCUGGCUUAGGACUGACAGAGAAAAUGGAUGCUUUCUGGAUCCUAAAAUGGCCUCUUUCCAUCUUGGAAAUGACUGUGAAACUGUCCAUUAUGGAUUUGGAAAGGAUUUGGGAACUGU
This is a long non-coding RNA of Oenanthe melanoleuca, 2930 nucleotides long. RefSeq lists it as uncharacterized. The record is from RefSeq and is a predicted model, not a curated record. NCBI's taxonomy places the organism in Eukaryota, Metazoa, Chordata, Aves, Passeriformes, Muscicapidae. The transcript is spliced from 4 exons.